GGGCCAGGGGGCCUCGCUUAUAUAGUCCUCCCCUUCUAUGCGUUUUUGGGUCGAUAGCCGAGGUGGUACUAUGUUUUGCUUGAUCCAAUAGGUCGGUGGAAUAUCCCGAGCGAAGGAGUCCUGAAUUGGCUCCAACAGGGGGGCGGGCGCCCAGGCUACGAGGGCGGGCGCCCUGGGCCUGGCCCAGCUUCGCCUCCACUUCGGUCUCGUGGCUUCUGGAGUCUUCU
This 227-nucleotide long non-coding RNA is filed under the name Sorghum bicolor (sorghum). Its description in RNAcentral is "long non-coding RNA (SBIC_LNC014407)". The record is from RNAcentral. Lineage: Eukaryota; Viridiplantae; Streptophyta; Magnoliopsida; Poales; Poaceae.